Molecule: ribosomal RNA, 445 nt
Filed under: uncultured bacterium
Lineage: Bacteria
Description: partial 16S ribosomal RNA
Rfam family: Bacterial small subunit ribosomal RNA
Source: RNAcentral
GUGAGGAAUAUUGGACAAUGGGCGCAAGCCUGAUCCAGCCAUGCCGCGUGCAGGAAGACGCAUCUAUGGUGUGUAAACUGCUUUUGUACGGGAAGAAACACUCCCUCGUGAGGGAGCUUGACGGUACCGUAAGAAUAAGGAUCGGCUAACUCCGUGCCAGCAGCCGCGGUAAUACGGAGGAUCCAAGCGUUAUCCGGAAUCAUUGGGUUUAAAGGGUCAGUAGGCGGUUUAAUAAGUCAGUGGUGAAAGCCCAUCGCUCAACGAUGGAACGGCCAUUGAUACUGUUAGACUUGAAUUACAAGGAAGUAACUAGAAUAUGUAGUGUAGCGGUGAAAUGCUUAGAUAUUACAUGGAAUACCAAUUGCGAAGGCAGGUUACUACUUGUGGAUUGACGCUGAUGGACGAAAGCGUGGGGAGCGAACAGGAUUAGAAACCCGAGUAGUCC